Molecule: non-coding RNA, 5060 nt
Organism: Xyrichtys novacula (pearly razorfish)
Lineage: Eukaryota; Metazoa; Chordata; Actinopteri; Labriformes; Labridae
Source: the annotation of a GenBank genome assembly
ACCAGUUGUUUUAUUCCCCCCCUUCUUAGAGUGUCACUGCUCGCUGUUUAAAAAUCUGUUUAUGCCUGUUUGUUUCCUUCCCGACCUCUAUUAACACUUGGCGACAGGAACACCUUCACCAUCCAUAACCUCUGACUCUAAGUGACUGGCUAUAGGAUGGUAAAAUGAAAUAUACCAGGUGGCUUCAGCAGGCACAUUUCACUGACUUAUAUCCAUCUAUAAGUGCAAAGAAGAGAAAGAGUAACAACCACUUUAGGAGCGGUAUCAAACAUCUCUACAGACUGAUAUUGCAUCCGAGUUUCUUAUUCGAUUCAUCAAAGACAAAAUUGGAAGCAAACACACAGUUGCGCACAAGAAAACCUAGCUUAGCUGCGCAGGUUUGACCUAAAUCGAAGUCAAAAUUGCUUAUUUUUAAGUUUUGAUUGUAACCUUUGACAGCGCCAUAUCCACCAUGAAUCUCUGGGCUCUGGAGCAUCCGGCGCCAUCCGAUCAUAUUUGCUCUCAUCCAGCAGAACCCUCUCCACCUCGUGUUUUCACAUCUCUGUGGGAUUUGAUUAAUGAAGCAGAUUUCCGGCUAUCAAGCUGGGUGCAAACUGUUCAAUUAUGCAUCUUGGACUCUCCUCAUAUCGUGUUUUAGUAUCUUCGCCGGCGUCUCCGGGCCCACACGUGUGGGAGGGCCGAGCUGGAGUUCGAGCUAUAUUUGUCUGAGUGAUGACCUUUGCCAUGGCAACAAAUUAAAGUGGAGUGAUUGGCACAGCACUGUCAAUUUGCUCUUUCAUGAGGUCCUCGCCGAGGUUGUCGCAGAGAUCCUGGCAGGACUCAAUUCACAUUCAGAGUUAAUCAAAAUGCAUGGCUGGGGCAGGCAAGGAGGCAGCCGGCUCAUGCUGUAAACAGUAAAGGAGCAGUUUACAACCUGACGCAGACAUCUGUCCUCAUCUGGCACAGCUGCUCCAAGAGUGCCUUAUGAUUGUUUGGUUGCUUUUGCAGACACUCCAACAACUUUCAUAUUUUAUAUCGGAGCACGCUGUUUGUUAUACAGCAGUCUCUUUAGCUGCUAUAAUUCUUGGCGGAUAAAAAGCCUUGGGUGAUGUGCUGGUGGGGCUUUGAGAAACAAAACAUUCGCAUCUCAGCAGGUGAAAGUUAAGAUUAUCAUACCUCUUGUAAACACGAGGAUUUUCACUUCUUAUUCAUUACAGCUGUUCUUCUUGAUGCCAAGGAAACCAACAUGAGUGGCCUCAAAUGUCUUUGUCUUUUUUGUUAGUCUGAAUAUUUGGUUCUCAAAGGACCUUGAUGUGUGAUAAAAAAGGAAAAAUACAGAAGUGUUUUGAUCAAAUGGUGCAUGAAUCCUGACCAAACAGCGAGAGUGUUAUAUUUCACCUGAAAUGAGAUGCACUGUAAUAUUUGGGCUGCUUCUAAAUUUGUUAUUCACACUAUUUUUUUUAUAGUUCUGCACCAAUGAUUAUGUUAAAUCUACAAACUGUUAAUGAGAAAAUAAAUGGGAAAAAGUUUGCUUUAAAUAAGUCAAGGACAGUGUUAGUUCAGGCAGGCCGCAAGAUCCAUAAUAAAGCUUAUUCUGUCAAAACAAUAAUUAGGGGUGUGCUGGAAUGAUAUUGAUAUCAGAUAUCAGUCCAGUAUCAGCAAAAAAAAAAUAUAUCGGAUCAUACCGACCUGCAUCUAAAAUCUCUGAUAUCAGUACUCGGAUACAAGCAGUCCAUUUCAGACUCCGUUUUGGCACCUCUAUCUAGCAGCAACCAGAUCCAGCAUAAAGAGCCAACAUAAUCCUAACAACAGUGUGUACUAAGGUACGAACAAAGUAGCAAAGAGUAGGAAUGAUGUUGGCCAUGUGGCAGUAUUUUUCGUUAAAGUCCGAAAAGACAUUGCAGCUGAGUGAAAAACUUGUCAUACACAAUUUUGUGCCAAUAUCGGAGCAAUAUCGGUAUCGGUCGAUACUGAAGGCUAAAAUAUCGGUAUCGUAUCGGAAGUAAAAAAGUUGUAUCGGGACAACCUGAAUCAUAGUAUCUCAUUUAAAGUGGCCUUGACUGAAAUUCAUGUCUCAGUGUUUCCCUUCAUUAAUUCCGCAGCGACGCACUGCCACUGCUGAAUUACGUGCACCGCUACUGAAAUUUCACAUGAUCAUUGAAAUCAAUGCGCCACAAAUGAUUUCUACUCGCACUGUGUGAGCACAACAACACACAACGUUAUUUUUGACUUGUUUUGAGUCUUUAACAAGCGCAUCAAAUCCUUCCUUCAACGUGAAAGGUAACGUUCGAGUUUAUACAUGGUCUGUAUAGCGAGUACCAUUAAUAGCAUUAAUAUAAAUGCACCACAAAUGAUUUCUACUCGCACUGUGUGAGCACAACAACACACACACGUUAUUUCCGACUUGUUUUGAGUCCUUAACGAGCACAUCAAAUUCUGUCUCACCCUCUUCCAUCAACGUGAAAGGUAACGUUCGAGUUUAUACACGGUCUAAAUAGCAAUUAGGGAAAUGUAACAUGAAGGUAACAGCGUAGCUCCAUAAGUGGCAAGAGAGAGAGUCGGGGUAACAGUGAAAAUCCCCCCUGAAACAGAAGCACCGCUGCUAAAAAAAAUUCUAGGGGAAACACUGUCUUAUCUAUUUGAAUUAGGAUAUGUCUCAGUUUUUGUGCAUAACAUAAGCAAGUUUCUGUUACUGAUGCACUGAAUUGAUUCUGAUUUGAGAUGCAUUUUAAAGUUAUUCUAAUGGAUAUAUUUUGAGGUUAGAAAUGGAUUUUUUUGUUUCUUGACGUGUUAAAAUAAAAAAAUAAAAAAAAAAUCAGGAGAGAAAUAAGAGAGAGAUUUUUGCAGUGCGCAACCACCACUUUUCUCUCUGGACGUCUGAGUUUGUUCUGUGAUGAAUCCCUGGCGAGCAAUGUAACAGGUGGGUGGAUGGACAAAACAAAAGAUCAAAUCAAUAGUUUCAGCCACCGCUUAAUUGCACAUCGGGAGCCAAAGGUUUUUUAUUACGGGCUCUGGUCAAACUUUUAAUAUACCUUGGGCCUCUAGAGUAUGGUGUUCCUGCACGCCGAGCUUUGUCCAAGAAAAAAAAAAAAAAAAGGCUUUCUCUCUUGUUUUUAUACACCCUGUCUUCCAGUCAACCCUUAGCAACUGGCAGUUUUCAGGAGAGCAGUUUACCAACAGCAGAGAAUGUAAUGAAGUCACAGUAUCUGAAUUAAGCCGCUUAUGAGAUUAGAGUAUUCAACCCACCUUCUCUGGUGUGGAAAUUAUUAGAAAACAAAAGGGUUUACCAGGCGCAGAGAUUUAAACUGAACUGGAGAUUUUCCUCCUCACUUCAAACCGCUGAAAUGUGCGCGCGGAUAAAAUUAGCAAUGCGGUCACACUUUUUAAUCAAAUGCAUGACUCUAGGAAAAGUCACGCACCUCCACAAAACACCCCGGGUUUACUCUCUCCUUUGUAAGCUUGACAUUUUUGUGCUAUGGUUUUAUGCGAUUUCGGGCCUCGAUAUUAGACAAAAAACAACCAAUAAUGAGAAUUUCACAGUGAGGGUUUGAAGGUGCUUACUGAGGCAAUCUCAAUUUCCGAGGAAGCGCGAAAAUGUAAUAUGCUCUAAAUAUGACGCAAAUGAGCCCAGAUCUAUGAUCUAAGAUUACUCCGAGUAUCGCAGCAUCCCGAGUCUGGCACAGCUAUCAUGAUGAGGAAUUUCAAGCGUGACCCAUCAAUUAUAAUAAUCAUGCUUCCUCUGACAUAUUAAUAUACUCUCAUUAGCUUUACAAAUCAGUCAAAGGGAAGCUUUGGAGGAGUACCUGUGCUUGAUAAAUCACAUCUCUUUUUGUGUAAACAGCUUGUUGCAGACAGAUGUAUUCACAUUGUUACAUAUCUGAGGGGUGAGGUGUAAAUAAUGCAUGAGUGUAAAGCAUGAGCAGUGGAACGUGUGAUAAACCAUGCAGCAUCUCAAAAAACCAGCGUCCUGGGAUUCUUGGGCUUCCUGCUGAACAUUCAGAGUGGAACAAGAAUCGAGCCGAAAAUAAAAUAGAUCCCGAUGCUGAGGACAACGCUAAGAAGAGACUAAAACCACAGCAGCAGUUCCGUGAGAUAUGAGGCUACUUUUUCUGAGGGUUAAGUUGAUCCUGGAAUGACGUAUAAUUUAUUCAAAGGAGCACAAAUGCAUGUUCGCAGCUUGAUGGAUAACCAGCCGUGCAGGAGUUGUCUCAAAACUUCACAUGCAUUAAUGAAUGUCAGCCUGGUGGUACCACUCAAAGAGAAGUAAGGGGUCACCAGGUUAUUAAGAUUAACCCUCCAGGGACCAGGAACACUUAUGAUGGGGUAUCAAGUAUUCUCAUAGACAAGAACUGCUCGUACUGAUAUGAGCGUUUAAAGCUCCUAUAAGUAGAUUUUUUACAUUCAUGGAAUAAGUUUAUAUUCAUAUUGAUGCUUUUUUAUGAGCAACAAAAGCAAACAAGACCACAAGUGACAAAAUUGGUUGUUCUUUUGUUGUAAUUCUAAAUGUCUGAAAUCUGAAGGAGGGUAGGUGUCAGUGAAGCAGCUAAAAAAACAGUCCUGUUUUCUCACUUUUCUCAUUUCACAAUAAUUGAUCAAUCUUGCUGUCAAAAGUCAGACUGAACGCUUUUUUGCUUCUUAGCCUAAAAAAGUAGGAUGUACCAAAAACGUUCAUUAUUUUCCAGAACUUAUGCUGCGUUUGAGUUACCUCGGAAGUCAGAUGUCCGAACUGAAAAUGAUGUCACACCUGAGUUAUCAAUGUUUCAGUUACCAAGUCGGAAAAAAACAUUGAGGUCCGUCCAACAAAUCGUCAACAUGCUAUACAAGUGUGUUACUUUUAUUUUAAAAACCUAGCCAUUUCCGUUUGGACACACGUGCCUACUGCCUAGAUCUGCAUUCGUGAACAGAGACAAGUUUAAACAUCAGCAAAAUAUACGUAGACGCCAUAUAGUUGCCAAGUCCUGUAUUAUAAAAGACUUUAGGCUUGUUUCUCCCAGAACUCGUGAGUCAUGGUUGCGCUUAUUUGGGCUUGUUUUUAACUAGUAGUUGCUUAUUUGGGUUUGCUUUUCUGUAUGUGUGAACCC